AUUCCAUGAUGUGGGCACUAUCUGAUCAAAUCCUUGAAUCUUUCCCAUGCAUCAUACAAAGAUUCACUCUCUAACUGAUAGAAAUUAUUGAUCUCUCCUCUCAACUU
This is a small nucleolar RNA of Humulus lupulus (European hop), 107 nucleotides long. Lineage: Eukaryota; Viridiplantae; Streptophyta; Magnoliopsida; Rosales; Cannabaceae. The record is from RefSeq and is a predicted model, not a curated record.